This 470-nucleotide ribosomal RNA is filed under the name uncultured organism. RNAcentral describes it as "partial 16S ribosomal RNA". It matches the Rfam family "Bacterial small subunit ribosomal RNA", at positions 335 to 801 of the family's 1533-position model. The record is from RNAcentral.
ACUCCUGCGGGAGGCAGCAGUGAGGAAUAUUGGACAAUGGGUGGAAGCCUGAUCCAGCCAUCCCGCGUGCAGGAAGACGGCCCUAUGGGUUGUAAACUGCUUUUAUCUGGGGAUAAACCUACUUACGUGUAAGUAGCUGAAGGUACCAGAAGAAUAAGCACCGGCUAACUCCGUGCCAGCAGCCGCGGUAAUACGGAGGGUGCAAGCGUUAUCCGGAUUUAUUGGGUUUAAAGGGUCCGUAGGCGGACUGAUAAGUCAGUGGUGAAAUCCGACAGCUUAACUGUCGAACUGCCAUUGAUACUGUUAGUCUUGAGUAAGGUUGAAGUGGCUGGAAUAAGUAGUGUAGCGGUGAAAUGCAUAGAUAUUACUUAGAACACCAAUUGCGAAGGCAGGUCACUAAGUCUUAACUGACGCUGAUGGACGAAAGCGUGGGGAGCGAACAGGAUUAGAAACCCUAGUAGUCCCAUGAU